RNAcentral lists this long non-coding RNA (1125 nucleotides) under Sus scrofa (pig). RNAcentral's name for it is "lncRNA (ENSSSCG00070016134.1)". The record is from RNAcentral. Lineage: Eukaryota; Metazoa; Chordata; Mammalia; Artiodactyla; Suidae.
AUCCCCAAUCGGCCCAGCCUCAUAUCAGUUGCUCCUAGCUAAGCCUCUUAGCAUUGGGAUUACACGGAGCAGCUCAGAGAUACCAUGAGAUCUGGAAACAGAGCUUCAGCUGAAUCCCAGCCCCAGCACUUACUACCUGUAUGAUACUGAGCAAGUCACUUAAACUCUCUGAGUAUUAAGUUUCAGAUAUAAUCAUGUCUUCCUCCAAGAUAGUUGUGAGGUUUUAAUAAGAUGACCUAUAAAAGUGCUUUACAUAGCACGUGGUAGGCAUCCAAUACCUAGUAGGUAUCGUCAUUUUCAUUUUUUUUUCUUUCUUGCACUUUUGGGCAACUUACUGGGUUUGAUGUCUGUGCUGUUCAAAUGGACUGCAGGUAGCCAAGGGCAGGCAGUGUGUGGUGCUUCCUUGAUUUCCUUAUUGUUCUAGUAAGAUCUCAGCACUGAAUGUUUCUUUCAUAACAGGACUCGAGGGAGAACAGAUGAAGAAAAGAAUGUGCAGGUGUGCACAUGACCCAAAGGGAAGAAGGUGGAGAUAGGAGGCAGCCAUUUGUUCAGCCAUCCCAGAUUGAGUUCUUUCUCUGGACCAAACACUUAGGACAAAGCUACAAUGUUUGAGAAUCUCAGUCAAGUGGGAGCAGACCAAGAAGAACACAGGAGACAGAGGCAGGUGGCACGCUGUGUAAACCGUGAAAAGCAUUAUGAAAAUAUCUGCAAAUCGUGUGCUGUCUCCAAAUAUUUCAACAUAAAUAUUUGCUGGAGGCAGGUCCAACUUCCCAGCGCAAGAGGAGGACAGAAGGUGAGUUGGAUGUGGGAGCAAAUGGUUCAGUCUGUCCCUUUUAGAGCCGCACCCAUGGCACAUAUAAGUUCCCAGGCUAGGGGUAGAAUUGGAGGUACAGCGGCCAGUGUAUACCAUAGCCAUGGCAACUCCAAAUCUAAGCUGAGUCUGCAGCCUAUACCACUGCUCACAGCAACGCCAGAUCUUUGACCACUGAGAGAGGCCAGGGAUUGAACCUGAGUCCUCAUAGAUACUAGUCAGAUUCAUUUCUACUGCGCCACCAUGGGAACUCCCGACUUCUAAGCGCUUGGCUCCAUGCUGGGUGCUUUCCACGAGUUGUUUCUCAUCACCAC